This 497-nucleotide ribosomal RNA is filed under the name uncultured bacterium. Its description in RNAcentral is "partial 16S ribosomal RNA". It matches the Rfam family "Bacterial small subunit ribosomal RNA", at positions 28 to 507 of the family's 1533-position model. The record is from RNAcentral.
GAUGAACGCUGGCGGCGUGCCUAAUACAUGCAAGUCGAGCGAACAGACGAGGAUCUUGCUCCUCUGACGUUAGCGGCGGACGGGUGAGUAACACGUGGAUAACCUACCUAUAAGACUGGGAUAGCUUCGGGAAACCGGAGCUAAUACCGGAUAAUAUAUUGAACCGCAUGGUUCAAUAGUGAAAGUCGGUUUUUCUGUCACUUAUAGAUGGAUCCGCGCCGCAUUAGAUAGUUGGUAAGGUAACGGCCUACCAAGGCAACGAUGCGUAGCCGACCUGAGAGGGUGAUCGGCCACACUGGAACUGAAACACGGUCCAGACUCCUACGGGAGGCAGCAGUAGGGAAUCUUCCGCAAUGGGCGAGAGCCUGACGGAGCAACGCCGCGUGAGUGAUGAAGGUCUUGGGAUCGUAAAACUCUGUUAUUAGGGAAGAGCAAAUGUGUAAGUAACUAUGCACGUCUUGACGGUACCUAAUCAGAAAGCAACGGCUAACUACGUG